UACGUAUGGAGCAAGCGUUAUCCGGAUUUACUGGGUGUAAAGGGAGUGUAGGUGGCAUCACAAGUCAGAAGUGAAAACCCGUGGCUCAACCGCGGGACUGCUUUUGAAACUGUGGAGCUGGAGUGCAGGAGAGGCAAGUGGAAUUCCUAGUGUAGCGGUGAAAUGCGUAGAUAUUAGGAGGAACACCAGUGGCGAAGGCGGCUUGCUGGACUGUAACUGACACUGAGGCUCGAAAGCGUGGGGAGCAA
RNAcentral lists this ribosomal RNA (248 nucleotides) under uncultured Lachnospira sp. RNAcentral's name for it is "partial 16S ribosomal RNA". It matches the Rfam family "Bacterial small subunit ribosomal RNA", at positions 524 to 771 of the family's 1533-position model. The record is from RNAcentral. Lineage: Bacteria; Bacillati; Bacillota; Clostridia; Lachnospirales; Lachnospiraceae.